CACAGUAACUUGCAAAACAGCAAACAUUUUGUAAAAGGUGACUUCUGGCAACACCUAAUUCUCCUCAGUGACUGUAUAUGAAGCCAAAGCACCCAAGUAGAUCACAGUGAAUGACCCUGCCAAAGGCACACAUCUUCACCUUAGACUCUGCUACACUUAAAUUUUCUUUUAGAAACAAAGAGUUGGGGAGUUUUGAGGAUUUAUCUGGAAGCUUUUCCAAGGUCUUGUUGGCACAGCAAACACCACUGUUUUAUUCUUCAUAGGGACAAUUCAGUCUCAUAAAAUAUCGUGGAUGACAGAAAAGAAUCAUCAUAAUUUUAACAGAUACAGAAAUAUUUAAGCAUCAAGCCAACUUUGUCCAUAAGACAAUAUAUCUUUUGUAUUUAAUUUAAAUAUUUUGCAUAAUACAGUUAUGUUAUAAAAUACCCAUGCUGCACAUAUUCAGAAAUUACUGGUCUCAGCUGUUCUCUUUAAUGUUCUUUCUAUCAACAACUAGACACAUUUUGCCUCUUUUUAUAUAAGGCCAUUUCGAGAACUGUCAUUAUUCUCCAGUUUUAACCCAUAGCUUCAUUACACUUGUCAGCCUGCUCUUUGAAUAUUUAUCUCUAGGAAUUUUUUUUCACUUCAGUGUUACAGAGGGACUUGGAGGGACCACAAUCAUAGAAUCAUAGAAUCAUUUAGGUUGGAAAAGACCUCUAAGAUCAUGAAGUCCAACUGUAAAUGACAAAAUACAUGCUUUUGUUCACAUUGUGUGCUAUAUUGUGAGGGCCUCAUGCAGCAAUAUAUGUUUAAUUUAAACAGUGUGCUUAAUUUGAAAUACACGGAUAGUCCCACUGACUUGGAAGAUGCUUAACAGUAU
This 859-nucleotide long non-coding RNA is filed under the name Anser brachyrhynchus (Pink-footed goose). Its description in RNAcentral is "lncRNA (ENSABRG00000008373.1)". Lineage: Eukaryota; Metazoa; Chordata; Aves; Anseriformes; Anatidae. The record is from RNAcentral.